AUUGAACGCUGGCGGCAUGCUUUACACAUGCAAGUCGGACGGCAGCACAGAGAAGCUUGCUUCUUGGGUGGCGAGUGGCGAACGGGUGAGUAAUAUAUCGGCACGUACCGAGUAAUGGGGGAUAACUAAUCGAAAGAUUAGCUAAUACCGCAUAUUCUCUGAGGAGGAAAGCAGGGGACCUUCGGGCCUUGCGUUAUUCGAGCGGCCGAUCUCUGAUUAGCUAGUUGGUGGGGUAAAGGCCUACCAAGGCGACGAUCAGUAGCGGGUCCGAGAGGAUGAUCGGCCACACUGGGACUGAGACACGGCCCAGACUCCUACGGGAGGCAGCAGUGGGGAAUUUUGGACAAUGGGCGCAAGCCUGAUCCAGCCAUGCCGCGUGUCUGAAGAAGGCCUUCGGGUUGUAAAGGACUUUUGUCAGGGAAGAAAAGGCUGUUGCUAAUACCGACAGCUGAUGACGGUACCUGAAGAAUAAGCACCGGCUAACUACGUG
This 490-nucleotide ribosomal RNA is filed under the name uncultured bacterium. RNAcentral describes it as "partial 16S ribosomal RNA". It matches the Rfam family "Bacterial small subunit ribosomal RNA", at positions 30 to 507 of the family's 1533-position model. The record is from RNAcentral.